This 65-nucleotide transfer RNA is filed under the name Dipodomys ordii (Ord's kangaroo rat). It matches the Rfam family "tRNA". Rfam says of the family: Transfer RNA (tRNA) molecules are approximately 80 nucleotides in length. The record is from Rfam by way of RNAcentral. Lineage: Eukaryota; Metazoa; Chordata; Mammalia; Rodentia; Heteromyidae.
GGUGGCUCAGUGUUAGAGUGCUUGCCUUGCAUGCAUGAAGCCCUGGGUUCGAUUCCUCAGCACCU